Molecule: ribosomal RNA, 1382 nt
Filed under: uncultured bacterium
Lineage: Bacteria
Description: bacterial SSU rRNA
Rfam family: Bacterial small subunit ribosomal RNA
Source: RNAcentral
GAAUUCGCCCUUAGAGUUUGAUCCUGGCUCAGGACGAACGCUGGCGGCGCGCCUAACACAUGCAAGUCGAACGAGCGAGAGAGAGCUUGCUUUCUCGAGCGAGUGGCGAACGGGUGAGUAACGCGUGAGGAAUCUGCCUCAAAGAGGGGGACAACAGUUGGAAACGACUGCUAAUACCGCAUAAGCCCACGGUGCCGCAUGGCACAGAGGGAAAAGGAGCAAUCCGCUUUGAGAUGGCCUCGCGUCCGAUUAGCUAGUUGGUGAGGUAACGGCCCACCAAGGCAACGAUCGGUAGCCGGACUGAGAGGUUGAACGGCCACAUUGGGACUGAGACACGGCCCAGACUCCUACGGGAGGCAGCAGUGGGGAAUAUUGCACAAUGGGGGAAACCCUGAUGCAGCGACGCCGCGUGGAGGAAGAAGGUCUUCGGAUUGUAAACUCCUGUUGUUGGGGAAGAUAAUGACGGUACCCAACAAGGAAGUGACGGCUAACUACGUGCCAGCAGCCGCGGUAAAACGUAGGUCACAAGCGUUGUCCGGAAUUACUGGGUGUAAAGGGAGCGCAGGCGGGAAGACAAGUUGGAAGUGAAAUCUAUGGGCUCAACCCAUAAACUGCUUUCAAAACUGUUUUUCUUGAGUAGUGCAGAGGUAGGCGGAAUUCCCGGUGUAGCGGUGGAAUGCGUAGAUAUCGGGAGGAACACCAGUGGCGAAGGCGGCCUACUGGGCACCAACUGACGCUGAGGCUCGAAAGUGUGGGUAGCAAACAGGAUUAGAUACCCUGGUAGUCCACACCGUAAACGAUGAUUACUAGGUGUUGGAGGAUUGACCCCUUCAGUGCCGCAGUUAACACAAUAAGUAAUCCACCUGGGGAGUACGACCGCAAGGUUGAAACUCAAAGGAAUUGACGGGGGCCCGCACAAGCAGUGGAGUAUGUGGUUUAAUUCGACGCAACGCGAAGAACCUUACCAAGUCUUGACAUCCCUUGACAGACAUAGAAAUAUGUAAUCUCUUCGGAGCAAGGAGACAGGUGGUGCAUGGUUGUCGUCAGCUCGUGUCGUGAGAUGUUGGGUUAAGUCCCGCAACGAGCGCAACCCUUAUGGUCAGUUACUACGCAAGAGGACUCUGGCCAGACUGCCGUUGACAAAACGGAGGAAGGUGGGGAUGACGUCAAAUCAUCAUGCCCUUUAUGACUUGGGCUACACACGUACUACAAUGGCGUUAAACAAAGAGAAGCAAGACCGCGUGGUGGAGCAAAACUCAGAAACAACGUCCCAGUUCGGACUGCAGGCUGCAACUCGCCUGCACGAAGUCGGAAUUGCUAGUAAUCGUGGAUCAGCAUGCCACGGUGAAUACGUUCCCGGGCCUUGCACUCACCGCCCGUCA